This 5822-nucleotide long non-coding RNA is filed under the name Homo sapiens (human). RNAcentral describes it as "HSALNT0240153". Lineage: Eukaryota; Metazoa; Chordata; Mammalia; Primates; Hominidae. The record is from RNAcentral.
GAAAAACACCAAACCAAAGAACAUGAAAUAAUUUCUAAACAUUUUUAUUUCAAAUCUCUUUUCACCCCUCCCCAAAAAGACAUGGGUAGGUACAGCAAUCAUAAAAAGGAGAUACAAACACAAGAGUCAAAUGUCUCUCGCACUGACACUUACAAAAAACUGGGAAUUGUACAUGGGGUUUCCAAACAGGACCUGCAGCAGCUACUAACGUCCCUUUACGAGAGUCAAACAUGCCUAUUAAUACAGUAUAUACAGACACCCCAUUCUGGAACUAAUCUACAGGGACAUCCCUAACCCCACCCCCUCUAUCCCCAGAAAAAUACCAAAACACACCCAAAGUGCAUUUGUUUUGUUUAUAUCAAAACCUCUUUCCCUUUCCCCAUCCCACCCUCAGACCCCUCCCACCCCAUUUAAGAUUGGCCUGCAAGUCUAUUUUAACCAUUUAGUAUUUUUUUAUAGUUUAUGAAAAUAAAUUAUACAGCAACUAUUUUAAUAAAUUAAGCACAAAAGGAAGGGUAAAAGAGGAAAACUAAAUGGGAAGACAAAAGCCAGGCCACGCUUUGGCUUGGAGGAGGGCAGAGGGGGGGCUAACGGAGACAGAAGUGGUUGCAAGGGGUGGCUCCCUUUCUGGUGAAAAAUUGGCAACCACCCCGAGCCCAGAAUGACACCCCUCUUCAUCGAGUUUCUUAAAAACAACCAAAAACGUACAGCAGUGGCUAUGCCACAGGCAGCACCAGUGUGGGCAUUCCAACAGCCAGCUACCCAAAGUGGCACCUGGACCCUACCUGUCCCUUGGACAGGUUCUGGGCCUAAGAGUGAGGGACAGGUCCCCGCCCAAGGGAGCACCAGAGAUGGAGGAGUGAGAGCAGGCUUCUGCUCCACCUGAGCUGGUUAGGGAGCUCAGGACGAAACUCUGAGCGGGGCAGUGUGGUAUGUGAUGAUCCCAGAGUCUGAGGAAGAGUGUCCUAAGUUCCUCACACUCUAUCUCCAGGAGGAACUACGAUCGCAGUCCAGCUGCAACCAAACAUGCAUGUCUUCCCGCCGUGGCUGGCUGCUUUCUGUCUGCCCCUCCAGGAAGAAACUGAGCGACACCUGCCAGGAAGGUCAAGAAGCAAUGAAAAGGACAAAGACAAUAUGAAAUCUGCAUGAAAAGACAGGUCCUUUUCUGGCAGAUUAGAGAAUCAACAUUUUCAGUACAACUCAUAACGCUACUUUCCUAACUGCAGUACCCGAGUCCCCAGCGCCUGUCUCUAUGAUCCAACCCCCAUUUCACUGCUCCCAAGACUUUGCUCUCCAUUUUAUCAAGGCCUCCAAUCAUUUUGUGCUGAGUGUGAAGGCUCCAAUGUGAAAGCAGGGUCUACCACAGGGACGUGCAGACUUGACCUUUGUGACCCAAUCAUUUUAUAGCUAUCGCAGCAUAGGAGGGGGGCACACUUUUCUUUCUUUUUUUUUUCUUUUUCUUUUUUUAAUAAAAAAGGUUUUACUCCCCAGGAGCAAAUAAAUCAUUUUGAACUACUGAUAAACACUGCUGCAGUGAAAAGAAAGAUGGCUACAUGUAUGCAAUAGCACAAAUUCAGUGGAAGAACAGCUGUGUUGACGAUUAGAGAUAAAAAUCACUUAUCCAUUCCCUCCUUUCCCACAAACCAAACCGAGGAUUCCCAUAGGGAAAAUGUCUAACUCAAUAGCUCCUCCCUUACAUGACAGGGGGUGUGUCAUUCUCUUAACAGUGGAAAACAAAUGCCAGGUCUCCGCCCAGUGGAGAUGCUCUUAACACCCUAACUGGUAGCAAGACUUCUGCAAAUGAGGACACACACACACACACACAUGCAUGCAUAUGCACACACACAGACUCAGACCUCCUUCCAGCAGCCAUAGAGCUUUAUCCCAGUGUCUUGUCCACUAACUUUAGGGCUCCAAAGCUAAGGGAGCGAGGCAGCAGGGAAGGGAAAGAUCUAACUGAAGGAAAAAGCUCCUCCUCGCCCCAGUUUCUGCAGGGAGCAGAGGGCUUCAAGCAGGCCAUGCUUUCCUGGGGGCCCUGGGGUGAGGGCUGACACGGCUGGAUUCCAGGGCACUUCUGGUUCUACUCCCACCUCUCACCCCUAGACCUAGGAACUAUAAUUACCCCCACUCCCUAAUUCUUCCUGGAUGUCUGUUACAGGGGUGUCUGCAGCUAUCUCCACACCAUCCCCAACCUCAAGGGGGGCUUACAUCAUUAGCCCAAGUGAACCACUUACCUAGUGCCCACACCAAAACCCCCGCCCGCCUACUCCUGUGCUACCAACAUAGCACACGAAUUUCAAGUAACAGCAAGUUGUAGCAGUAGUUGUCACUGGCUCACAGCAGCUCACUCUCAACCUGAGGAAGGUUACAGUAGAUCAGUCAUAAACAGGUGAGGGUUAUGCAGGCACUGAGGCCACUGAUAUCACCCACCCACAACUUAGGAAUCAACAGUGGGUCCCUAGAUGUAAGCCUUUUCCAAUUUGUGACUUGAAAAUACAACCAGAAAGAAAUUAUUUAUUUUUUUUGAGAUGGAGUCUCACUCUGUCGUCUAGGCUAGAGGGCAGUGGCGCAAUCUCGGCUCAGUGCAACCUCCGCCUCCUGGGUUCAAGCAAUUCUCCUGUCUCAGCCUCCCAAGUAGCUGGGACUACAGGCGCAUGCCACCAUGCCCAGCUAAUUUUUGUAUUUUAGUAGAGAUAGGGUUUCACUGUUUGGCCAAGCUGGUCUUGAACUCCCGACCUCAUGAUCCACCCACCUCAGCCUCCCAAAGUGCUGGGAUUACAGGCGUGAGCCACCGCGCCCAGACCUAGAAAGGAAUACAUUUAAAUGAGCUCUGCACAGCACUGGCGAAGGAGGGACGGGCCUGGUCAGGGAGGUGAAGGGCAGGUGCUGCCACACCUGCUCCUCUGCUCCAUUUACUCUCUGACCAGGCUGUAUCCCAGAGAGCUGGCCCAGCCCCAGUUCAACACGACACUCCCCAGGAGGAGAAAGGUGGGUGGUGAGGUUGGGUCACACCUCCUCAGUUGGUUUGUUUUGUACCUGAAUGUAUGAGUUCUCCAGAAGAAACCCCAGUAACACAGGGGGUGCAGAGGCUCUGCCUCCCUCACAUGGCCUGAGCUGACCAUAGUGAGGCCCUGGCAAUGGGCAGGAGCCUUGCUGACUCCUUUGGGCUUUGGGCUCCACCUCACCAUCAUAACCCCUUGGCACUCAGGUCUGCCUGGUGGCUGGGAAGCUUCCAUCUAGAAAACCGCACUGGAAAGGAUUCUUUAACCAUGUUGCUCUAACAGGGCUGUGCACUGUUCAGUACAUGCCAUGCAGAUUUCUGCUUCCUUGCUUUUGCUCAUGUGUUUUUCAUCUCACUGUCUGUCCUGCCAUUGACUACAACCCAAAGCCUCAGAGGCACAGAACUUUCCCAGACCAUCUGGUCUACCCUGAUCUUAUCUACUAUAAACGUCUUUAGAUAGUCCUUGAUUUUCUGCUUGAUGUGCAGCAGUCACCUAAAAGCUCCCUUAGGCCACAUAUUACGUCUUUUACCUUUUUUGUUUUCUACAAUAUCUAGCGCAAAGCCAGGCACACACACACUAAAAAAUAAUAUUAAAAUUAUGGGUGGUUGAAAAGGAACAAAAAAAAGAAAGAUCCCAGGCUGUAUAUCAGCCACCCAAGGAUCUCAACAGAUUCCAACUUCAGGCUCUAUAUUGGGGUGGCACUUCCUGCAAGAUGGCGAGUUAUAUUACUUGUACUCUCACGAGGCAACACUCACAUGCUAAGCCAAUUUCUGGGAUCACAAUCUUGCUUAGUUGAUAAUACUACCAUGGAAGCCAAGGAAAGAAGAGGUACCACAUGACAAAUCAGAGGUGGGCUGUGUUUAUGGUGCACAGCUCAUCUUGUGGGCCACCCUUCCACAGUCAGGUAAUGGUGCAAGUUUCCUCCCUGUUCAGCUACAAGGAGGAAGACUGGUCACUCCACGUGGGACUAAGGAAGAAGGCAAUGCUCCCAGAUGAGGCAGUCCUAUAAAUUACCAGGACACUGGGGCCCCACCCAAACCAUCAGGAAGCCACAAACCUGACAUUAGUAUCUGUCUUGUGACACGAGGCAACUAUAAGCAUGGGGAACCCAGAAAGAGAGUCCCAUGGAACACACGCAAAGGAGUCAUGAAGACCCAACAGCUCCACUGUUACAUCUCAAUAGCAAACCUCUCCCCAGAGCAGCUCUAUAAGAAAGCAAACUCACAAUGUCAUAUGAAUUGGCCAUGGCCAGCUGCAGAAACCAUUAAAGACCAUUGGAGUUUUUCUCCCCGCUCCUCCUGAAAGCAGGGACAGGCAGCUCUCAAAUCGGCAUCUGGCAGACUUUCCAGUGAGUGGAGACCAGCAGGAUCUGAUCCGGAAAUGUCUGGGUUGCUAGAAUGAACACAAGAAAAUACAGAAGCCCUUGCUACCUCCCAUCCCAGAAGUGGGAUGGCAGUGAUAAACCUAAAAACGUGAGAUGCGAUGCUCUCCUCUGACCUAAGGAAAUCCCGUGAGGGCUGCGUUCUGAGAGCUUCCUCUAGGAAGAGCACAACUGUGGGAGCUGUAUUUCUCACCUUCCUCCACAUUCCCCCUCACAAGCUGACAGGCACAUGGAAGUAACACUCACUCCUAAGUCAUGAGUACAGUUUGCCAUGAAGAACCUGGAAACAUGCUCCAUUAAAUUCAGCAGCCCAUGACUGGCUCUGAACCGCCCAGGUGAUGGGAAACACGAUUGCCAUGACAGCUGGCAGAAGCAAUAGGGAUGCUGUUACCAUGAUCAGAGUGACAUGUACAGUUAUCUCAAGGGGCAAUGGGUUGAGAGCAGAGGAAGAACGGGGUUAACUUCAGGUCAUGGAACUUAAGGAAUUAAGUAAAUCACAACUAGUACAGCUUCCAUGAGAGGUGUUUCUGAACUCAGGUUCCUAAACCUUAAAAAAGGAUGCAGGAGUCACUACUUCUCCCAGCUAAGGCCAAUUGGCUAGGUUUUGCCCAAUAUUCUUUUCGAGACCACCCACCCUCCUUUCUCUCCUGCUCCUACAACAGCUGCCCAUGGCAACAAGAGGCAGAUUCCCCCUUCCUCAGGAACUCCCAGUCCUUUGCAAACCUCAAGCCCCUCCUCCCAUCUUCCAGGCCCACAGCACAGACUCUAACUCUGCCUUUGGCACCAGCUGAAUGGCCGUCCCCUGUUCCCUCCUCCCACCCCUUCUUUGGACCUGCUCACCCUUCGCACCACUUUCAAUCCAACGGGCACAAACCCCAACUGCCUUCAAGCUUAAUUUGGUUCUUCAAAGCUGGAGCUUGGCAACCAAAUGCCUAGGUAGAAAAGGAAAAAAAAUUAAAACAGUUCAACAGAAUAGAACCAAAAUGGAGUGAAAUAACAGCCAGCCACUGGAGGUGGAGCAGCACACCUCAAAAGGAGAACGGAGCCUGGAGAGCUGAACGCUUCCAUGAGGGCCACAUGUGACUAGGGAUGCAGCAGUGGCCUUUGUCAGGGGGACCUGAGCAGCCUAUGACUUGGAUGACAAAACAAGGUCCUGAAAUAACUAAUAAAUACAUCCUACCACAUUGCAUAAAUUCUCUCUUUCCCUUUCCCUUACCCCUUCAUUUCCUACCCAUUUUUUCCCUGAGGCUCAAUUGCUCUAGGGACUGAAAAGGGAAGUAAGCCCCUGGAGUAACCCCUUUUGAACCUGGCAAGAAAGAGCUCUAUAUUUCUUUCUUUCUUUUUUUUUUUUUUUUUUGAGACGGAGUCUCGCUCUGUCACCCAGGCUGGAGUGCAAAGGCAUGAUCUUGGCUCACUGCAAUCUCCACUUCCUGGGUUCA